UGACGAGUGGCGGACGGGUGAGUAAUGUCUGGGAAACUACCUGAUGGAGGGGGAUAACUACUGGAAACGGUAGCUAAUACCGCAUAACGUCGCAAGACCAAAGAGGGGGACCUUCGGGCCUCUUGCCAUCGGAUGUGCCCAGAUGGGAUUAGCUAGUAGGUGGGGUAACGGCUCACCUAGGCGACGAUCCCUAGCUGGUCUGAGAGGAUGACCAGCCACACUGGAACUGAGACACGGUCCAGACUCCUACGGGAGGCAGCAGUGGGGAAUAUUGCACAAUGGGCGCAAGCCUGAUGCAGCCAUGCCGCGUGUAUGAAGAAGGCCUUCGGGUUGUAAAGUACUUUCAGCGGGGAGGAAGGGAGUAAAGUUAAUACCUUUGCUCAUUGACGUUACCCGCAGAAGAAGCACCGGCUAACUCCGUGCCAGCAGCCGCGGUAAUACGGAGGGUGCAAGCGUUAAUCGGAAUUACUGGGCGUAAAGCGCACGCAGGCGGUUUGUUAAGUCAGAUGUGAAAUCCCCGGGCUCAACCUGGGAACUGCAUCUGAUACUGGCAAGC
Molecule: ribosomal RNA, 556 nt
Filed under: Escherichia coli
Lineage: Bacteria; Pseudomonadati; Pseudomonadota; Gammaproteobacteria; Enterobacterales; Enterobacteriaceae
Description: bacterial SSU rRNA
Rfam family: Bacterial small subunit ribosomal RNA
Source: RNAcentral